This 492-nucleotide ribosomal RNA is filed under the name uncultured bacterium. Its description in RNAcentral is "partial 16S ribosomal RNA". It matches the Rfam family "Bacterial small subunit ribosomal RNA", at positions 29 to 507 of the family's 1533-position model. The record is from RNAcentral.
AGUGAACGCUGGCGGUAGGCCUAACACAUGCAAGUCGAACGGCAGCACAGUAAGAGCUUGCUCUUACGGGUGGCGAGUGGCGGACGGGUGAGGAAUACAUCGGAAUCUACUUUUUCGUGGGGGAUAACGUAGGGAAACUUACGCUAAUACCGCAUACGACCUACGGGUGAAAGCAGGGGAUCUUCGGACCUUUCGCGAUUGAAUGAGCCGAUGUCGGAUUAGCUAGUUGGGGGGGUAAAGGCCCACCAAGGCGACGAUCCGUAGCUGGUCUGAGAGGAUGAUCAGCCACACUGGAACUGAGACACGGUCCAGACUCCUACGGGAGGCAGCAGUGGGGAAUUUUGGACAAAGGGCGCAAGCCUGAUCCAGCCAUACCGCGUGGGUGAAGAAGGCCUUCGGGUUGUAAAGCCCUUUUGUUGGGAAAGAAAAGCAGCAGGUUAAUACCCCGCUGUUCUGACGGUACCCAAAGAAUAAGCACCGGCUAACUUCGUG